GAUGAACGCUGGCGGCGUGCCUAAUACAUGCAAGUCGAGCGAACGGACGAGAAGCUUGCUUCACUGAUGUUAGCGGCGGACGGGUGAGUAACACGUGGAUAACCUACCUAUAAGACUGGGAUAACUUCGGGAAACCGGAGCUAAUACCGGAUGAUAUUUUGAACCGCAUGGUUCAAAAGUGAAAGACGGUCUUGCUGUCACUUAAAGAUGGAUCCGCGCUGCAUUAGCUAGUUGGUAAGGUAACGGCUUACCAAGGCAACGAUGCAUAGCCGACCUGAGAGGUGGAUCGGCCACACUGGAACUGAGACACGGUCCAGACUCCUACGGGAGGCAGCAGUAGGGAAUCUUCCGCAAUGGGCGAAAGCCUGACGGAGCAACGCCGCGUGAGUGAUGAAGGUCUUCGGAUCUUAAAACUCUGUUAUUAGGGAAGAACAUAUGUGUAAGUAACUGUGCACAUCUUGACGGUACCUAAUCAGAAAGCCACGGCUAACUACGUG
Molecule: ribosomal RNA, 497 nt
Filed under: uncultured bacterium
Lineage: Bacteria
Description: partial 16S ribosomal RNA
Rfam family: Bacterial small subunit ribosomal RNA
Source: RNAcentral